CAAGAUGUCAGCGCCAUAUUGGGACAUUAGCGGCUUAUCUUUUCUGUCCUCUAUAUUUUUGUACAGUAUGUGUUUAUUGAACGAGCGCUGCGACUCACCGGCAUCAUGUCGACAGAUGAGGUUUCUUCAUUUGUCUUUGGACAGAGAUCUAACGCAGGCCCGGGAGAUGCAGUCUGGGGCGUCCUAACCUAGAAGACAACUGGGGCGACUCUUUGGUUCCUUUGGUUGAACACUUCUUUGGGCGAGGGGUGCUGGGACCCGGAGGACCCAAUAUCAUAUCUAACCUGGCAAAGCAAAUAGAGUAGAGGACAGCACAAUGCAGAAUGACGAGAUACGGCGCGAACGUCUGGACCGAGAUGGGGAGAAACACAAACCAACAACAACAAGCCCAGAGAUUCCCAGAAAAUAUAUUCCAGACAUACUUUAUCAAGUUUACUACGAUAAAAAGCUCCCUGAUCGGUGCAUUGAUAUCAGCCAUCAACAUGUGGUGAAAGUAUGCCUUUAGUGUUUUAAAAAUAUAAAAGCAGGAAUAUAUUUACAUGUGUGAAAUCAUAACCUCAUUCAUACAUACAGAAGGAUUUCUCUAAGAUAAGAUGAAUGUGACUGAAGUACCUGAAUAGGUAUGAGAACAGUGAGAGACGUGUAGGAAACUGAGCCAUGCAAACACAAGAACACACACACUAGUGUAGUAUGAGUCGAGUGUGGAGAGGGAAAGAACAGCAGAUUUGAGGUGUAUCUGCUCUUGCCUGGACU
This is a long non-coding RNA of Megalobrama amblycephala (Wuchang bream), 753 nucleotides long. RefSeq lists it as uncharacterized. Lineage: Eukaryota; Metazoa; Chordata; Actinopteri; Cypriniformes; Xenocyprididae. The transcript has 3 exons. The record is from RefSeq and is a predicted model, not a curated record.